RNAcentral lists this ribosomal RNA (832 nucleotides) under Xylographella punctata. RNAcentral describes it as "SSU rRNA". It matches the Rfam family "Eukaryotic small subunit ribosomal RNA", at positions 120 to 893 of the family's 1831-position model. Lineage: Eukaryota; Metazoa; Arthropoda; Insecta; Coleoptera; Ciidae. The record is from RNAcentral.
UUAGAUCGUACACACAUUUACUUGGAUAACUGUGGUAAUUCUAGAGCUAAUACAUGCAAACAGAGCCCCGACCGGAGACGGAAGGGGCGCUUUUAUUAGAUCAAAACCGAUCGGUGUUGGAUUUAUCCUUCAUCGUACAAUUUGGUGACUCUGAAUAACUUUAAGCUGAUCGCACGGUCUUGCACCGGCGACGCAUCUUUCAAAUGUCUGCCUUAUCAACUGUCGAUGGUAGGUUCUGCGCCUACCAUGGUUGUAACGGGUAACGGGGAAUCAGGGUUCGAUUCCGGAGAGGGAGCCUGAGAAACGGCUACCACAUCCAAGGAAGGCAGCAGGCGCGCAAAUUACCCACUCCCGGCACGGGGAGGUAGUGACGAAAAAUAACGAUACGGGACUCAUCCGAGGCCCCGUAAUCGGAAUGAGUACACUCUAAAUCCUUUAACGAGGAUCAAUUGGAGGGCAAGUCUGGUGCCAGCAGCCGCGGUAAUUCCAGCUCCAAUAGCGUAUAUUAAAGUUGUUGCGGUUAAAAAGCUCGUAGUCGAAUCUGUGUCACGCGCCGCCGGUUCAUCGUUCGCGGUGUCAACUGGCGUGCCGCGGGACGUCCUGCCGGUGGGCUUAGCUCGCAAGGGCGGCCCAACUCAAUCCCGCCGCGGUGCUCUUCACUGAGUGUCGAGGUGGGCCGGCACGUUUACUUUGAACAAAUUAGAGUGCUUAAAGCAGGCUAAAACUUCGCCUGAAUACUGUGUGCAUGGAAUAAUGGAAUAGGACCUCGGUUCUAUUUUGUUGGUUUUCGGAACCCCGAGGUAAUGAUUAAUAGGAACGGAUGGGGGCAUUC